This is a non-coding RNA of Hordeum vulgare subsp. vulgare (domesticated barley), 124 nucleotides long. NCBI's taxonomy places the organism in Eukaryota, Viridiplantae, Streptophyta, Magnoliopsida, Poales, Poaceae. The record is from Rfam.
CAACUACUCCCUCCGUUCAGAAUUACUUGUCGUAAAAAUGUAUAUAAAUAAAUGCAUCUAAAACUAAAAUACAUCUAGAUUUAUUCAAUCUACAACAAAUAUUUCUGGACGGAGAAAGUGUUAU